UACAGAGGGUGCGAGCGUUAAUCGGAAUUACUGGGCGUAAAGGGCGCGUAGGCGGUCUAUCAAGUGAGAUGUGAAAUCCCCGGGCUUAACCUGGGAACUGCAUCUUAAACUGAUAGGCUGGAGUACUGUAGAGGAUAGUGGAAUUUCCGGUGUAGCGGUGAAAUGCGUAGAGAUCGGAAGGAACAUCAGUGGCGAAGGCGACUGUCUGGACAGAUACUGACGCUGAGGCGCGAAAGCGUGGGGAGCAAACAGG
Molecule: ribosomal RNA, 253 nt
Filed under: uncultured bacterium
Lineage: Bacteria
Description: partial 16S ribosomal RNA
Rfam family: Bacterial small subunit ribosomal RNA
Source: RNAcentral